CGCGAUUCGCCUGCCUGUGAGGAAGGCUGUCUGCUCCGUGUCUAUGACGCGGUUAAACAGCGGCAAUAGGCGUGUGUCCCCCUUAGGUCGCCCAACUGGACGUGCGUGUACGGCGCCCGGUCCGCCGGCACCCGAUAUGUAACGAUGUUCUUUAGCUCUUCUCAGUGUGGUGAUGACAUGGACAGUCUGAAACCAGCUUGUGGCAGUGCAACUAUUGUGUGCCCACACCCUUGACGGUGUUCACCC
This 246-nucleotide long non-coding RNA is filed under the name Volvox carteri. Its description in RNAcentral is "long non-coding RNA (VCAR_LNC002878)". Lineage: Eukaryota; Viridiplantae; Chlorophyta; Chlorophyceae; Chlamydomonadales; Volvocaceae. The record is from RNAcentral.